UGAGAGCUGCCAAAGAUCACACAGU
This 25-nucleotide non-coding RNA is filed under the name Mus musculus (house mouse). Lineage: Eukaryota; Metazoa; Chordata; Mammalia; Rodentia; Muridae. The record is from RNAcentral.